GAUGAACGCUGGCGGUCUGCUCAACCACAUGCAAGUCGAACGAACUCUUCGGAGUGAGUGGCGGACGGGUGAGUAACGCGUGAGAAUCUGGCUGUGGGUCGGGGACAACCACUGGAACGGUGCUAAUACCGGAUGAGCCGAAGGUAAAGAUUAUGCCCACAGAUGAGCUCGCGUCUGAUUAGCUAGUUGGUAAGGUAAAAGCGUACCAAGGCGACGAUCAGUAGCUGGUCUGAGAGGAUGAGCAGCCACACUGGGACUGAGACACGGCCCAGACUCCUACGGGAGGCAGCAGUGGGGAAUUUUCCGC
RNAcentral lists this ribosomal RNA (307 nucleotides) under uncultured cyanobacterium. Its description in RNAcentral is "bacterial SSU rRNA". It matches the Rfam family "Bacterial small subunit ribosomal RNA", at positions 28 to 369 of the family's 1533-position model. The record is from RNAcentral. Lineage: Bacteria; Bacillati; Cyanobacteriota.